This 210-nucleotide long non-coding RNA is filed under the name Lathyrus oleraceus (garden pea). RNAcentral describes it as "Pisum sativum (pea) long non-coding RNA (PSAT_LNC015182)". The record is from RNAcentral. Lineage: Eukaryota; Viridiplantae; Streptophyta; Magnoliopsida; Fabales; Fabaceae.
UCAAACAAAGUCAUACAAUAACAUGGCAUUGGUGUUCAGGCCACAACAUUUAGCAACAACCAAACACACACAUCAUAUGAAUUUCUGGACAGAAACAUGGAUUAUGCAACAGCAGUACUCAUCAUCAUCAGCAUGACCAAAUAUGCCCAAAAAUCAAUCAUAUACAUAUCAAUAGCAUUAACAUACAUCCAACAACAAACGUGCAUCAAC